Molecule: long non-coding RNA, 522 nt
Filed under: Rattus norvegicus (Norway rat)
Lineage: Eukaryota; Metazoa; Chordata; Mammalia; Rodentia; Muridae
Description: long non-coding RNA NONRATT016795
Source: RNAcentral
CUUUUCUCCUAUUUUCAUGACUUUUUUUCCUAAAGAUUAAAACACUUCAAAAAGGCAUGUCAAUUUACAAUUGUUCUUAGGUUUCUGAAUGCUUCUAAUUUCUCUGUUCUUUAUUGUGUUUGCAAGCCUGAGGUCCUCUAUUUGAGCUAACCUAUGUUUUCUUCUUUAGAUAUCUGCAGCGAUUAUAUUUGGAAAUACUGUAUAUCUGAACACUUAAAUGUGUGUGAGUGCAAGCAGUUUUACCUUUAGCUCUUGUUUUCCUGUUUAGAUAACAAAUCUCACUUUCCUUGUGUGCUUGCACUAUAGGUUUGGGACUGACAAUAGCUGACUAACAUGUCCUGAGCUGUGAGAGGGCAUAGCAAGAAGGCCUUCAUGCGGACCUAGAUGUGAAAGCUGGUGGAGGCUGUGUAAUGACCAUUGGAGAGAUGCUUCGUUCUUUUCUCACAAAGCUCGAGUGGUUUUCUACUUUGUUUCCAAGAAUUCCAGUUCCAGUUCAGAAGAAUAUUGAUCAGCAGAUUAAAA